CACGUAGGCACCAAGCGUUGUCCGGAUUUAUUGGGCGUAAAGAGCUCGUAGGCGGUUCGGUAAGUCGGGUGUGAAAACUUUGGGCUCAACCCAAAGCGUGCACUCGAUACUGCUGUGACUAGAGUUCGGUAGGGGAGUGGGGAAUUCCUAGUGUAGCGGUGAAAUGCGCAGAUAUUAGGAGGAACACCGGUGGCGAAGGCGCCACUCUGGGCCGAAACUGACGCUGAGGAGCGAAAGCGUGGGGAGCAAACAGGG
Molecule: ribosomal RNA, 255 nt
Filed under: uncultured bacterium
Lineage: Bacteria
Description: partial 16S ribosomal RNA
Rfam family: Bacterial small subunit ribosomal RNA
Source: RNAcentral